RNAcentral lists this ribosomal RNA (496 nucleotides) under uncultured bacterium. RNAcentral's name for it is "partial 16S ribosomal RNA". It matches the Rfam family "Bacterial small subunit ribosomal RNA", at positions 28 to 506 of the family's 1533-position model. The record is from RNAcentral.
GAUGAACGCUGGCGGCGUGCCUAAUACAUGCAAGUCGAGCGAACAGACGAGGAGCUUGCUCCUCUGACGUUAGCGGCGGACGGGGGAGUAACACGUGGAUAACCUACCUAUAAGACUGGGAUAACUUCGGGAAACCGGAGCUAAUACCGGAUAAUAUAUUGAACCGCAUGGUUCAAUAGUGAAAGACGGUUUUGCUGUCACUUAUAGAUGGAUCCGCGCCGCAUUAGCUAGUUGGUAAGGUAACGGCUUACCAAGGCAGCGAUGCGUAGCCGACCUGAGAGGGUGAUCGGCCACACUGGAACUGAGACACGGUCCAGACCCCUACGGGAGGCAGCAGUAGGGAAUCUUCCGCAAUGGGCGAAAGCCUGACGGAGCAACGCCGCGUGAGUGAUGAAGGUCUUCGGAUCGUAAAACUCUGUUAUUAGGGAAGAACAAAUGUGUAAGUAACUAUGCACGUCUUGACGGUACCUAAUCAGAAAGCCACGGCUAACUACGU